This 375-nucleotide long non-coding RNA is filed under the name Fukomys damarensis (Damara mole-rat). Its description in RNAcentral is "lncRNA (ENSFDAG00000028181.1)". The record is from RNAcentral. Lineage: Eukaryota; Metazoa; Chordata; Mammalia; Rodentia; Bathyergidae.
AAGUCACCAGUGAGACAGAUGCCUCAUCUGCCUUACUUUGUGACUUAUUUCCUAAGUGACCUUGAAUAGGUCACGUCCAGCCUAAAAGAUUCUGGAGUUUGCUUUUGUCUCCCAGAAUUGGGCAGGUAGAAAUCACCUACUCAGCUUUGAAGAUUACGUGGAACAAUUCUCACUGUGAAGAUCUUGCUGCCAUCCAUCCCCUCCCUCCUCUCAGGUAGAAUCGACUUCUCUCCAUUGGGGCCUUCAGAGGUCCAAUGGGCUUUCUACCACUGCACUUGAUACAUUUUUGUUUCUAGGUGGAAUUCCUAAAUCAGGUAGAAUGUCUGCCUAACCUUGGGAGAGAACAGCAUUGACGUAUAGCUCUCGAAGAACGGG